Molecule: small nucleolar RNA, 107 nt
Organism: Sorghum bicolor (sorghum)
Lineage: Eukaryota; Viridiplantae; Streptophyta; Magnoliopsida; Poales; Poaceae
Rfam family: Plant small nucleolar RNA R71
About the family: R71 is a member of the C/D box family of snoRNAs containing the C (UGAUGA) and D (CUGA) box motifs. Multiple nearly identical copies of this snoRNA have been identified in Arabidopsis, and it is thought to function as a 2'-O-ribose methylation guide for 18S ribosomal RNA.
Source: Rfam
AUUCUAUGAUGAGGACACUCGAGUAUGUAGUCUUGAAAGCGCUCCCAAACUACUAGAACUGUCUCAUCAUGUUGUUGCUAAAAGCUUGAUAUUUUCCCACGAAGAGC